GGGGCAAGCUAGAGGGAGGGGGAAAAAUAUAUUUUCUGGGUUGUUACAAAGAGGAAAAGCUAGCUUGGGGACAAGGGAGGAAGGAGUUUUCACAGAGACAGUGGGAGACCAUGAGAUAGUGUAAGAAACUUGGAGUCGCAGGCUGUUUGAGAAAGGGGUAGCUUGGAGAGGGGGUUUUGGGGUGAUAGAGAGAUAUUUUUUUGGAGUUGCUUGGGAGUGUAAGGAAACGAAUGAGAGAUAUUUUUCCUGGUUAUAGCUUGAGAGAGAAACCUACUGAGAGAGCUGAAGCUGAGGAAUAGAGAUUUUUGGGCUGGUUCUUGGAAAGAAAUGAGAACUUGAAGACAAUCCGGUUCAAAUAGACGUUCUAGGUAGUUCAUUGUGAACUAUGCAUUUUCUCAUUUUGGAUGUUAUUUUACUUGGUGUCACUAUUGUUGAGGCCUCGCGUCCCUGGUGAUCCACGUAGUUGCCAAAUGGAUGGACGCACGAUCUCAACCAAUAUAGAUUCCUAGUUCAGUCAUCCCUACAAAAGGCGUCCGGACACACCCUCCGAUGAUUUUGUCAGCCAUGAUUCCGAGAAAUAAAUCAGUUGGUCUUUUACUAGGACCAUCAUCACUCGUAGGGCGGCUGACAGAGAUCGUGGGAGGCACCGCAGCUGUCAAAGAUCGUAGGAAGUGACUUGCCAUCAUUCAUGUCCUUUCACUCUGCAUGUGGCGAAACGUGAGCCAUGACAGGCUGUCGAAAUGACGUAGUAAGAUUUGCUUACUUUAGUCAACGAUCCGGACAAACAUAUCCAGAUAGGAUAUGUCGGUCGUCCGGAUGUAAUAUGACGAUCGUCCGGAUGUGAUGUUCGCGAGUGUCGUGUGCUUCUCCAUGAGGAAGUCCGGAUAGGAGAAGCACGCCACGUGUCUCCUUUGGGGGAAAUCCGGAUGGAGUUAAUCUGGAUAGAAAUGCGUGUCACGUGUCAUGGGGAGGGGUCCCUACAACUAUGGAUUUUUGCGUUAUCCAUGCAUUUGUGCUACUGAUUCUUCCUAUGUUUCCUUGAUUUGGUUUGAAAAACUAGUGAGGCUCUUUAUCAUGUUCACUAUGGAGUAUCUAUAUACAUCGACUGCAUUUUUUUGCUUUGAA
Vitis vinifera (wine grape) is the source of this 1125-nucleotide long non-coding RNA. RefSeq lists it as uncharacterized. The transcript is spliced from 2 exons. The record is from RefSeq and is a predicted model, not a curated record. Lineage: Eukaryota; Viridiplantae; Streptophyta; Magnoliopsida; Vitales; Vitaceae.